RNAcentral lists this transfer RNA (76 nucleotides) under Pseudomonadota bacterium. RNAcentral's name for it is "tRNA-Gly". It matches the Rfam family "tRNA". From Rfam's summary of the family: Transfer RNA (tRNA) molecules are approximately 80 nucleotides in length. Their secondary structure includes four short double-helical elements and three loops (D, anti-codon, and T loops). Lineage: Bacteria; Pseudomonadati; Pseudomonadota. RNAcentral also lists the same sequence under 5 other names. The record is from RNAcentral.
GCGGGAAUAGCUCAAUUGGUAGAGCAUCAGCCUUCCAAGCUGAGGGUCGCGAGUUCGAGCCUCGUUUCCCGCUCCA